AUAUCUUUCUAGGCCUUUUGGCUAAGAUAAGUGUAAUAUUUGUUCUUGUGUACCCUCGCAACACACAUGUAUUGUACUAGUAAAUAGUAAUGUUUCACAUUCAGCUACAUACAUUGUUGACCUUUUGCUGUGCAAACAUGUCAGCACAUCUCAAUUGAAGUUUCUGAAAGGGAAAUGCGCC
RNAcentral lists this small nuclear RNA (181 nucleotides) under Zea mays. RNAcentral's name for it is "U2 spliceosomal RNA". It matches the Rfam family "U2 spliceosomal RNA". Rfam says of the family: U2 is a small nuclear RNA (snRNA) component of the spliceosome (involved in pre-mRNA splicing). Complementary binding between U2 snRNA (in an area lying towards the 5' end but 3' to hairpin I) and the branchpoint sequence (BPS) of the intron results the bulging out of an unpaired adenosine, on the BPS, which initiates a nucleophilic attack at the intronic 5' splice site, thus starting the first of two transesterification reactions that mediate splicing. Lineage: Eukaryota; Viridiplantae; Streptophyta; Magnoliopsida; Poales; Poaceae. The record is from Rfam by way of RNAcentral.